Long non-coding RNA from Lepisosteus oculatus (spotted gar), 953 nucleotides. RefSeq lists it as uncharacterized. Lineage: Eukaryota; Metazoa; Chordata; Actinopteri; Semionotiformes; Lepisosteidae. The record is from RefSeq and is a predicted model, not a curated record.
GAUCCUUUUAACCACAAAAAUUAAUAUCCAAGGACACAGAACUGAAGGGCCUCAUUCUAAGUUCCUAACCUAGUGCCACUUCUUCUUCAAUGUCCUUGAAGAGAACACAGAUAGCAUUGUUACAGCACUGUGCUUUAAUAAUUGAGUUUCUGUUCAGCACUCAUGAGUUGCUUGCUCCUUACAAACUGGAAAUAAUAAGUUUCUUUCUCCCUCCUCAGUCUCUGAUAGUCCCUCUCCUGUGAAGAGCAGACAGCCCUGACAGUAGCACACAUUAAACUUACAGCACACUGCCUCUAGCCCCCUUCCAGAUAGCCGAGAGCUCUGUGCAGCUGCAGUGUCACGGGCAGAAGGACACAAAUGCAGCGAUUCUGAAACACUGCGUCCCGACCCCUCAGAAAGUGGCAGCACAACCAGCACAUUAUUCCGGCCUCACCUCCCCCAGGCCAGCGUGACAGUAGUCCGAGUUAACCUAAAACAACAGUCUGCAUGCCUUGUUCUCCACCAGCACCGAGAACGCAAGAAUGAGAAGCAACUCCUUUAACCAGACAGAACAGCCAGUCGCUGGCCCAGCCCAGUCUCUAGUGUCAUCACAGGUAUCACGAGAGGUAUCACCGGGACUACAUUUCAGUAGCCAACACUGCUGGGAGAGAGCAGCCAGAAAGGCUACAAGAGGGAACAGAGGCAGGAUGCUCAGAAUCAGGGAUGGCCUCUGAACAUGAACGAGUCCCAUCAGUCUAACCGAUCCAGAGCUUCUGCAAGCCUGGCGUUCUGUCAUGACGAUGCUCGGAAUGGACGCCUCAAGAGGGUGGCAUCACAUCACAGAGUCAGCUCUACCGCCUCCCGGUUCCCAGGUCCUGCCUUCGACGUUCUCAUAUUGCGAGUAUGAUCUCCUUUUAAUGGACUUUAAUUAAACUUAUAUUAAGUUCUUAAUUGUUGUCUCUUUUAACUGCUCU